UGGGAGAAUUCAUUAAUGCCCUUGCCUGACCC
RNAcentral lists this non-coding RNA (32 nucleotides) under Mus musculus (house mouse). Lineage: Eukaryota; Metazoa; Chordata; Mammalia; Rodentia; Muridae. The record is from RNAcentral.